This is an RNA transcript of Elaeis guineensis (African oil palm), 4027 nucleotides long. It is a transcript of the gene named protein NLP2, with no coding region annotated. NCBI's taxonomy places the organism in Eukaryota, Viridiplantae, Streptophyta, Magnoliopsida, Arecales, Arecaceae. The record is from RefSeq and is a predicted model, not a curated record.
GCUGACAGAAAAGGGGAAUCCAUCGGCAAGAAAGCAAGAGAGAGAAACCAACGCCGAAGGAGGCGUUUUCGCUCCGGAUCCUUCCUCUCGCAACCUCCUCUGUUCUUCCACUGCUUCACCUCUGGGACCAGCUAGGGUUUCGGUCUCAGUCCCCGGAUCAGCGGUGGUUUGCUUGGAGGUCCAGCUACGAGAAAUUCGAGGCCUCUGCGGCUCGUUUCGUGGAUUGGAUUGGGCUGACACUGUCGGUUUGGUGUUCCAAGGUUUGUUUCAGCAAGAAAAAUCACUUUUUGAUAGCAAAGAUUGGAUUUGUAGCCUUGAAAAUGGUCCGAAGUUUGAAAUUGGAGGUUUUGGUGGGUUUCGGAACGGCCGGGCGAAGAGAGCGGUGGUCGUCGCAGCGUUUUCGGCAAGCAGGUUCGCCCUUUCUCUGUGGGAAUUGGUCUCUAAUGCCGAGUUGGAGGGACUUUUGAGGAAAAGUUGAGCCAGAUAUUUUUUUUCUGUGAAGCUCUUAACACGAGGAAGUCCGGCUCUUUGGAUAGAAAUUCCUGUUCUGAAGAAGCAAGAUUUCGUUUUUGCGUUGAUUACUAUGCCAACAGUAGUCUAGAGGAGUGAAAAAUUGCUUAUUUAGUUUACCAGCAAGCGGAGAUGGAUGGUUUUUCACCUAUGGAUUGUGGUAACGGGAGUGCAGAGGAUCCAUUUAGUCUUUCAGCACUUAUGAACUUUGAUGGCUUUGGCGAACCUUUCAGUCCUUCAACUGCGGACCAGAUUCACUCUGCCUUGAGCUACUCAGCUGCUGCUCGUUUGACGCCUGGGAAUUGGUCUUCCACUGGAUCGCCUAACAUCUUCGCGGCGCUCGGAAGGGAUGCCUUGACUGGUGACGUCAACGUGCCAGCCGCCGCUUAUUCUAGCGACGGGGAGAAGGUGGCUUCCCCAAGGACUAGUAUGCAGUUUGUGUUCUCCCCGAAUUUUUUUGCUUCAGAUGACAUUCCCGAUGAGGGAGCCAGUUUUAUUCCCAAGCCCAUAGCAGGAUUUUCAUUUCCUGAGAGGAUGCUCAAAGCACUGUCCUUUUUUAAGGAUUUUUCAUCUGGUGGAAUUCUCGCUCAAGUUUGGAUGCCCAUCAAACAAGGUGAUCAGUACAUAUUAAGUACCUCCGAGCAGCCCUUUCUGCUGGACCAAAGUCUUGCUGGCUACCGUGAAAUUUCGAGGCAAUUUACAUUUUCAGCAAAGGAAGCACCAGGCUUGUUUCUUGGGCUUCCUGGACGAGUAUUCAUAUCCAGAAUGCCAGAGUGGACCUCAAACGUUGCAUAUUAUAGUAAGCUCGAGUACUUGAGGGUGGAUCAUGCGGUUAGUCAUGAAGUCCGUGGAUCACUUGCUGUGCCGGUUUUUGAUCGCUCUAAAGGUUCACGUUGUGCAGUACUUGAGCUUGUCACAACAAGGGAGAAACCCAAUUUUGAUACGGAGAUGGACAAAGUUUGCCAUGCCUUAGAGGCUGUAAACUUAAAGACAACAAAAGUCCGCGCUCAUCAACAGAACCUCACAAAAAAUCAGAAAUCCGCAUUCACAGAGAUACUGGAUGUUCUGAGAGCUGUUUGUCAUGCACACAUGUUACCUUUGGCACUUACAUGGAUUCCCUUUUCCUAUGAUUAUCAUAGUAUCGAUGAAUGCAUAAAAGAUGAUGUUCAAGAGGUACAGUCAAGUUUGAGGGAAAAAAGUAUGCUCUGCAUCCAGGAAUCAGCCUGUUACGUCAAUGAUACAAGAAUUCAGGGUUUUCUUCAUGCAUGUGCUGAACAUUGCCUUGAUAAAGGACAGGGAAUUGCUGGAAAAGCACUUCAAUCAAACCACCCCUUUUUCUCUCCUGAUGUAAAAGUUUAUGACAUACGCGAGUACCCACUGGCACAUCAUGCUCGUAAAUAUGAUUUGCGUGCUGCUGUUGCAAUCAGACUCAGGAGCACGUAUACUGGAAAUGAUGAUUACAUACUUGAGUUCUUUCUUCCAGUCAGUUGCAGAGGUAGUGAAGAACAACAGCUCUUAUUAAACAACCUCUCAAGUACCAUGCAGAGAAUUUGUAAGAGUUUGAGAACUGUCUCAGAUGCUGAAAUAAUCGGAGCUGAUGUAACCAAAGUAGGCAUUAGCAGGGGAAAAGGAAUAGGCUCCUCCUCAACUGAUUUCUCUGCUAAGUGCUCUCAACUAAUGGACAGUGAUAAUGAACUAACAACUGUGAAGCAUUCUGAAAAUCAAAAGAUGGAAUCUAAUGAGCAAGGAGGAGAUUCUUAUCAUGAGCAGUCAAAGUCUGGCUCAAUGAGACAUAUGGAAAAAAAGCGCAGUACGGCUGAGAAAAAUAUCAGCUUAAGUGUUCUUCAGCAAUACUUUUCUGGUAGUCUUAAGGAUGCUGCAAAAAGCAUUGGAGUUUGUCCAACGACACUGAAAAGGAUAUGCAGACAGCAUGGGAUUUCAAGGUGGCCAUCUCGCAAGAUUAACAAGGUCAACCGUUCACUGAAGAAGAUCCAAACAGUGAUUAACUCUGUGCAGGGAGUGGAGGGUGCAUUAAGAUAUGAUCCUGCUUCUGGGUGUCUUGUUGCUGCAGUCUCUUCACCUGAGAAACCAGCAAUGAUGAUGCCAGAGUCAUUUGGCCGAGAUUGUACGUGUCUGUCUUCUGCUCCUCAUGAUGAAACCGAACAAUCUAUUGGGAAAUCAGAACCAGACUUCUCUUCUCUUGAUGUUCACCAACAAGAGACUUCAGGCCAAUUAAAAUUUACUAAUAAGCCCAAAGGUGAAAAGGAUGAACUCCAUGCUCCCCUAGAUGGCUGCAGCAAUGACUGUAAGGUCACUUCUGCCUGUGGAGGACUAUUACAGCAGGCUAACAUUGAAGGUACACCAUCAUGGCCAAUAUAUUCCAAAGAUAUUCUCCGUAGUUCUUAUCUUACGAAAGAAACAGGCUGCCAACGUGCAUUUGGCAAGGGUGGCCUGAGUCUACAGAGCCUUGAGUGUCAGAUUAUGUCAAAGGGCUCAGGUUCUAUGAUGCCAAUGGAUGAAACGAAUGCUGAAAUAAAUGCUGAUGAUGGAAUCAUAGAACACAGCCAUCCUUCUUCUUCCAGCAUGACAGACUCUUCCAGUGGCAGUGCGUCAAGUUGCCCAACUUUCAAGAAAAGCUCAAAAAGUAUGGCAGAUGUUACUGAAAGUGGGCCAGUUAUCACAGUAAAGGCUACUUAUAAAGAUGACACCGUGAGGUUUAAGUUCCUACCAUCCAUGGGUUGCCACCAUUUGUUUGAGGAAGUUGGAAAGAGAUUCAAAUUGUUGGUUGGGACAUUCCAGCUCAAGUAUAUGGAUGAUGAGGAAGAGUGGGUGAUAUUGGCAGGUGACUCUGAUUUGCAGGAGUGUCUCGAUGUGUUGGAGGAUGUUGGAUCCCGUAGUGUAAAGCUUCAAGUUCGAGAUGUUCCUUGUGCCACUGGCAGCUCAGCAAGUAGUAAUUGCCUGCUAAUGGAGCCCUAAGGCCUCAAAGAGAUAGGAGCAUGCAUUUGGAUGAUGUCGCAUCAGUCAUUGAGUUUUGUUGGGUGGAUAUAUUUGGAUACUUGUCUAGAAGUAGGGAGUGCUUGUUGGGGGAUAUAUACUCCAAAGGAACAGGUAUACAUGUUGUAGAUGUAGGAAUAGAUAUUGUGGGUAUUGGUUGGCACUUGGCAGGAUAAUUAACAAGCUACUUGCUAUGUGUUGUAUGCAACUAGCACUUUCAGUAUCCUAUACACAGUUACCAAUGAAUGGGUGCAGGAGUGGGUCCGGUGUGGCUGUUGGGAAGUGGAUACUUUAGAAACAAUUUUUUAACAACUCUUAGUAGCUGGAGCGGGUUCAAAACUCCGAGGAGUGAAGCGAGUGCAUUUCAUAGGUAAAACAUUCCAGCUACUGAGGUUAGAUGUCCAUGAAUGCAAAAAUGAAUAAAUCAUUUUAAAAUCAGUUCAGAGACUUACUUUUGCCUGCCUUGCCAGAUUUUUUUAGUUAAAUCACAUUGAUAUUGGAGGCUGCUUAGUUUGAAUUCAAA